ACAACACAAGACAUUGCUUUUUACUAGUAUUUUAAAUUUGUUCAUUCAACUCUAAGAUAUGUCUCUCAAGUGUAUUGUAUGUAUAUAUAUAUACAUAUAUAUAUGAAGCUUAUUGCUUGUUUUGGUUGUAGAGUUCGCAGAGGGGUCGCCAUUAGAGGCAUACAUGGCACUUAAUGAUAUAGAUGCUGCUGUCGAAAGUUUCAAGAAGGCAUUGGAAUUGGAGCCAAAUGAUGCUGGAAUAAAAAAGGAGCUGGCUGCUGCAAAGAAGAAGAUUUCGGAUAGACGAGAUCUGGAGAGAAAAGCAUAUUCUAAGAUGUUCCAAUAGCAGUUGGUGGUUGCAUGGCUACCAUUGUCUCUUAGGAACAAUAUACAGUUAGUUACUGUGCUGAUUCAAUGUUGGAUUGAGUGAACUUGUUCAGGCUUUUUCAUACAUUCAGGUAAUGUUGCUUUUUCUUUUCAGUCAAGUCCGGGUGACUUUUGUGUAUGUCUACCAGUUUGCAUCAAUUCAAGAAAUUUUCACUUAAGUUGUGGAGAUUUCUUUGGCUGAUCCAUCUUAUGAUGAUUUGACCUUAAUUUGUUUCGGGUUAUAAAAUAGGGUUAGCUACACUAAGACUCCCUCAACUGAACGAAUAUCGGUUUACUCCCCCCAUCUAUGAACCGGUACAGUCUAACCCCUCAACUAUAAAACCGUGUAAAUUCCUCUCUUGGAAGAAAAAAAUUCACUACAAUGGUGAUAGCAUGCCAUCACCGACUUUAUAAAUUACCAUGUAAGUAUGAUUAGUCCUGCUAUGCAGUAGUUACAAAAUUAUGUUGG
This is a long non-coding RNA of Camellia sinensis, 814 nucleotides long. RefSeq lists it as uncharacterized. The record is from RefSeq and is a predicted model, not a curated record. Lineage: Eukaryota; Viridiplantae; Streptophyta; Magnoliopsida; Ericales; Theaceae.